Molecule: transfer RNA, 72 nt
Filed under: Chelonia mydas (Green sea turtle)
Lineage: Eukaryota; Metazoa; Chordata; Testudines; Cheloniidae
Rfam family: tRNA
About the family: Transfer RNA (tRNA) molecules are approximately 80 nucleotides in length. Their secondary structure includes four short double-helical elements and three loops (D, anti-codon, and T loops). Further hydrogen bonds mediate the characteristic L-shaped molecular structure. tRNAs have two regions of fundamental functional importance: the anti-codon, which is responsible for specific mRNA codon recognition, and the 3' end, to which the tRNAs corresponding amino acid is attached (by aminoacyl-tRNA synthetases). tRNAs cope with the degeneracy of the genetic code in two manners: having more than one tRNA (with a specific anti-codon) for a particular amino acid; and 'wobble' base-pairing, i.e. permitting non-standard base-pairing at the 3rd anti-codon position.
Source: Rfam by way of RNAcentral
GGCAGUGUUGUUUACUGAGUAGAGCACUGGACUAGGAUUCAGGAGACCUGGUUUCUAUUCCCAGCUCAGCCA